This 499-nucleotide ribosomal RNA is filed under the name Bombus balteatus. RNAcentral describes it as "partial 16S ribosomal RNA". The stretch from base 376 to 499 matches the Rfam family "Bacterial large subunit ribosomal RNA", at positions 2473 to 2597 of the family's 2925-position model. Lineage: Eukaryota; Metazoa; Arthropoda; Insecta; Hymenoptera; Apidae. The record is from RNAcentral.
GGCUUAUUGAAUUAUAAUUUUAAGUCUAUCUGCCCAAUGAUGUUUAAAUUUAAUGGCUGCAGUAUAACUAACUGUACAAAGGUAGCAUAAUCAAUUGUUUUUUAAUUAAAAACUGGAAUGAAAGAAUUAAUGAGAUAUAUACUGUCUCAUAUAUAUAUUAUAAAAUUAAAUUUUUAGUAAAAAUGCUAAAAUUUAUUUAUGGGACGAUAAGACCCUAUAGAAUUUUAUAUUAAUAUUAUAAUUAUAAUUAAUUUUUAAUAUUAAUAUUUAAUUGGGAGGAUUGGUAAAUUUGCAUAACUUUAUUUUAAAUUAAAACUUUAAUAUAAGAAUAUUUUUGACCUUUUAUUAUAAAUUAAAAGAAUAAAUUACCUUAGGGAUAACAGCGUAAUAUCUUUUUAAAGAUCAUAUUAAUAAAGAUGAUUGCGACCUCGAUGUUGAAUUAAGAUAAAUUUUAAAUGGAGAAAUUUAAUAAUUAAGUCUGUUCGACUUUUAAUAUCUU